AUGCUCGCUUUGGCAACACACAUACUAAAAUUGGAACGAUACAGAGAAGAUUGGCAUGGCGCAAGGAUUACACAAAUUCAUGAAGCAUUCCAUAUUUUU
This 99-nucleotide small nuclear RNA is filed under the name Strix occidentalis caurina (northern spotted owl). RNAcentral also lists the same sequence under 1 other name. The record is from RNAcentral. Lineage: Eukaryota; Metazoa; Chordata; Aves; Strigiformes; Strigidae.